Long non-coding RNA from Herpailurus yagouaroundi (jaguarundi), 1229 nucleotides. RefSeq lists it as uncharacterized. NCBI's taxonomy places the organism in Eukaryota, Metazoa, Chordata, Mammalia, Carnivora, Felidae. The transcript has 3 exons. The record is from RefSeq and is a predicted model, not a curated record.
GACUCCCCGGCGCCGCCGCCUCGUGGGCGGCCAAGCACCGACACGGGCAGCACGACCUCCCCGGGGCUGAGCUGCUGCAGCCGCAUGGACUCCUCGUAGGUGGGCAGGUGAAGAGAGGUUAGAGCCAGAGCAAAGGGGUGGCUGUGCUGAAAGUGGAAUCCAGGGCUCCUCGAAGAGGCCAAACCGGUGUGAUUUCAUCAGGAUCCUAAUUCCUUUCAUUGGCUUAACAGCCACAUUUCCUACCAUGCAUAGAGACAAGGGGGAUGGGUGUUUUUUAUGGAUUUUUCCCUUUGGCCAUAUUUCCAAGUUGUAAUGCCGCUUACACUUUUGUUAGAGUUCUCUCAAGGAAGGUUUCUAACGACCCUGCUUGCCAGUGUCCUGUUGGCAAAAGGAUGUGUUGAGAGCCAGCCAGUCAUAAAACUCUGCUGCCAGGAAAUGAGGCAGGAGUUCACAGACUGAGAGAUUAGAGCCGCGCUCCAGGCUGUAUUCUUCCCUGCUCCACUUCUGAUGGACUUUGCCAUUUCUGCUUAUUUAAACAUGUAUUGUUUUCUUCUCAUACCAGAAGUGAAUAGGUGCUUGUAAAUAAUUCAAACAAUCCAGAAAUGUAUAAUUUAGGAAGUCAAAAGUCAUCUGUAACUCCUUCCUUAUAACUACCGCGAAGGGUUUGUUGAGCAUUGCUCCAGGUUUUAAGGCGUAUAUACUAACAUAUGCGUUCGUUUUUAAAAGUGGAAUCAAAUUAGACACACGGUUCUAUACCUUGCUGUUUCACUUCACAUUACAGAUGAAAACUUUUUAUCUUUAAAUUGACCUCAACUGUGUUGAAAGCUGUGGACAUACUACACUUUAGUUAGGCCCCUACUGAAGGAUAUGUGGGUGGCUUCUAAUAUUUCAAUAUUAUAAAAUGUACUGCAAUGACAAUUUUUGUUUAUAUUUCUUUGCAGGCCUGGGUAAGCGUUUGGCUGGCUAAGUCCCUAGACAUUUCUGCCUAUUCUCGAAUAAUGUUAAAUUUUUAACUGCAAAAAGGACAAAGUGUGUUGCAUUUUAUUAUUGGAGUAAUGACUGGUGAGCGAAGGCAGUUUGUUCAGUUUGUUCAUGUGAAUGAAAUGUGUGGAUCAUUUUCCACAUUUCUUGCCAGCUCUCGUGGUUGUGAAAACCAUAACAAUUCCUAACCCCACUGCCUUACUUCCUGGAUUCCUUGUUAAAUAGAGAAAUGGGGGGCACCUGGGUGG